This 472-nucleotide ribosomal RNA is filed under the name uncultured bacterium. Its description in RNAcentral is "bacterial SSU rRNA". It matches the Rfam family "Bacterial small subunit ribosomal RNA", at positions 329 to 793 of the family's 1533-position model. The record is from RNAcentral.
GCAGAGCAUCCUACGGGAGGCAGCAGUGGGGAAUAUUGCACAAUGGGCGCAAGCCUGAUGCAGCCAUGCCGCGUGUAUGAAGAAGGCCUUCGGGUUGUAAAGUACUUUCAGCAGUGAGGAAGGUGGGUAUGUUAAUAGCAUAUUCAUUUGACGUUUAGCUGCAGAAGAAGCACCGGCUAACUCCGUGCCAGCAGCCGCGGUAAUACGGAGGGUGCGAGCGUUAAUCGGAAUUACUGGGCGUAAAGCGCAUGCAGGUGGUUUGUUAAGUCAGAUGUGAAAGCCCGGGGCUCAACCUCGGAAUUGCAUUUGAAACUGGCAAACUAGAGUACUGUAGAGGGGGUAGAAUUUCAGGUGUAGCGGUGAAAUGCGUAGAGAUCUGAAGGAAUACCGGUGGCGAAGGCGGCCCCCUGGACAGAUACUGACACUCAGAUGCGAAAGCGUGGGGAGCAAACAGGAUUAGAUACCCCGGUAG